ACGUGAGCAACCUGCCCCUGUAUGGGGGAUAACCCUGGGAAACCGGGGCUAAUACCGCAUGCGCUCUGAGAGCUCCUGGCUCUUUGAGGAAAGUCCCUGAAAGGGGAUGUGCAGGGAGGGGCUCGCGGCGUAUCAGCUAGUUGGUGGGGUAACGGCUCACCAAGGCGACGACGCGUAGCCGGUCUGAGAGGACGACCGGCCACAUUGGGACUGAGAUACGGCCCAGACUCCUACGGGAGGCAGCAGUGGGGAAUCUUGCGCAAUGGGCGAAAGCCUGACGCAGCGACGCCGCGUGGGGGAGGAAGCUUUUCGGAGUGUAAACCCCUGUCAGGAGGGAAGAACGGUCCAAGGAGGAAAUGCCCCUGCGAUUUGACGGUACCUCCAAGANGAAGCACCGGCUAACUCUGUGCCAGCAGCCGCGGUAUACA
This 428-nucleotide ribosomal RNA is filed under the name uncultured bacterium. RNAcentral's name for it is "bacterial SSU rRNA". It matches the Rfam family "Bacterial small subunit ribosomal RNA", at positions 115 to 527 of the family's 1533-position model. The record is from RNAcentral.